Molecule: ribosomal RNA, 523 nt
Filed under: uncultured bacterium
Lineage: Bacteria
Description: bacterial SSU rRNA
Rfam family: Bacterial small subunit ribosomal RNA
Source: RNAcentral
AUAAACGCUGGCGGCGCACAUAAGACAUGCAAGUCGAACGGAAGUCGUUAUACUGAUUUGAAACGAACGGAGAACUUGUCAAAGGGACUAGAUGAAGAUUAUAACAAUGGCUUUAGUGGCGGACUGGUGAGUAAUACGUAAGCAACCUGCCUAUUAGAGGGGAACAACAGUUAGAAAUGACUGCUAAUACCGCAUAUGCCAUGAGUAUCGCAUGAUACAAGUGGGAAAGGAGUAAUCCGCUAAUAGAUGGGCUUACGGCUGAUUAGCUAGUUGGUGGGGUAACGGCCUACCAAGGCGACGAUCAGUAGCCGGACUGAGAGGUUGAACGGCCACAUUGGGACUGAGAUACGGCCCAGACUCCUACGGGAGGCAGCAGUCGGGAAUUUUGCGCAAUGGAGGAAACUCUGACGCAGUGACGCCGCGUGCAGGAAGAAGGUUUUCGGAUUGUAAACUGCUUUAGACAGGGAAGAAAAAGGACAGUACCUGUAGAAUAAGCUCCGGCUAACUACGUGCCAGCAGCGGC